AGUGGGAUGGUUGCAUAUAUAC
Molecule: microRNA, 22 nt
Filed under: Schistosoma mansoni
Lineage: Eukaryota; Metazoa; Platyhelminthes; Trematoda; Strigeidida; Schistosomatidae
Description: sma-miR-2162-5p
Source: miRBase by way of RNAcentral